AUUUUUUUUUUUUUUUUGGGGGAAAAGAUGAUGGUGACCUAAACCCUCACCAGAGUAACAAUUGGAGGGCAAGUCUGGUGCCAGCAGCCGCGGUAAUUCCAGCUCCAAUAGCGUAUAUUAAACUUGUUGCAGUUAAAAAGCUCGUAGUUGAAUUUCUGCGUUAUCGAGUUAUUGACUCUUGUCUUUAAUCGAUUUCGCUUUUGGGAUUUAUCCCUUUUUACUUUGAGAAAAUUAGAGUGUUUCAAGCAGACUUUUGUCUUGAAUACUUCAGCAUGGAAUAAUAGAGUAGGACUUUGGUUCUAUUUUGUUGGUUUUUGAACCUUAGUAAUGGUUAAUAGGAACGGUUGGGGGCAUUCGUAUUUAACUGUCAGAGGUGAAAUUCUUAGAUUUGUUAAAGACGAACUACUGCGAAAGCAUUUGCCAAGGACGUUUCCAUUAAUCAAGAACGAAAGUUAGGGGAUCGAAGACGAUCAGAUACCGUCGUAGUCCUAACCAUAAAACUAACAAAAUU
This 511-nucleotide ribosomal RNA is filed under the name Babesia venatorum (nom. ined.). RNAcentral describes it as "Babesia sp. venatorum partial 18S ribosomal RNA". It matches the Rfam family "Eukaryotic small subunit ribosomal RNA", at positions 477 to 1048 of the family's 1831-position model. Lineage: Eukaryota; Apicomplexa; Aconoidasida; Piroplasmida; Babesiidae. The record is from RNAcentral.